RNAcentral lists this ribosomal RNA (194 nucleotides) under uncultured bacterium. Its description in RNAcentral is "partial 16S ribosomal RNA". It matches the Rfam family "Bacterial small subunit ribosomal RNA", at positions 338 to 524 of the family's 1533-position model. The record is from RNAcentral.
CCUACGGGAGGCAGCAGUGGGGAAUAUUGGACAAUGGGCGAAAGCCUGAUCCAGCCAUGCCGCGUGUGUGAAGAAGGUCUUCGGAUUGUAGAGCACUUUAAGUUGGGAGGAAGGGCAGUAACUUAAUACGUUGCUGCUUUGACGUUACCGACAGAAUAAGCACCGGCUAACUUCGUGCCAGCAGCCGCGGUAAU